CACUUUGUAUGGGUCUGCUGUCAAGAAAAGAAGAAAACAAAAAACAAAACAAAACAAAAAUCAAUAAGGGGAGGGAAAAAAAAGGUUGGAGAGCCCAGAAGUUAGUUCUGUAAAAUGAAAUGUAAAAUAGUAGUGGUCUUUGCAGGAGAGGUAGAUUGAGUUUUUUAAGAUUUUUGUGUCUCCCCCAACCUCUGCCACCUUGGAGAAGGAGGCAGUGGUGUGGAGCUAUGGCUACCUUUUCAGUGCCCUGCAGGGACAGUGCCAAUCAAUUCAAGAGUAAGUGUUACUCUUUGAAGUUCUUCGCUGGUGUGACUUAAACCAAGUUGCGGACUCCUGAUCCCAUGUUGAAAUUACAGGACCUCUGCGGUGUUUGUGAACUUCUGCUGAUGUGCAGGGGCUUCUCGCUUGCCUUUCUUAUUGGCUUUCCUCCUGAACUGAAACCAUCUUGAUUCCUCACUUUCUUUAGGAAUGAUUCUGCUAAAAACUAACCAUGCCAUAUGUCUUCUGAUGCAUCACAGUUAAUGAUCACAUUUGUUUGAAAACAGGAUCUUUGUUCUCGAAAAUAACCUUGGUUGUAAAGAAAGACAGGCGCAUAUGUUCCAGAAUGAUUUCUGCAUUAUACAUAGCUUUGUAGUUUUAUGAAGUGUCAAGCAGCUGUUUUUCAAUGCCUCAAGAGAUCAAAAGAAAACCUAGAUAGAAUAUUCUUUUCUGGAUGGGAAGUUUCAAAGUCCAAGUCACAGCUCGAGUCCCUCUUUCUGGGAAGAGGAGCUUCUUGAUUGAAAUCCAGUCAGCCUGAGCCUAUUUCAACCCCCAUGGACUCUGGGACAGUACUCAUCUUAAAUUUAGUUCUAUAAAUCACUAAGAAUUCGGUGUUUGUUUUUGUGAUAGUGAGGGGUCUGUUUUUGUUUUUUCCUUUAGAUCUCUACCUUAGGCCAAAUUCAGUUUAAAGAAAAAAAAAUGUUUGAACUAAUCUGUAUUGUAACGACACAUUCCUGUUAUGUUAGUAGUGGCCUUUACACCAACCCCUAUAACUAGGCUGAUUUGCUCAAUCUCUGUCUGUAUGAUCCUGGGAAGCACACAGAGGAGGGUUUCCACUUCACGUUGUGACUACACAGUUCCAACUUCCAGAGCUGCGAGAAUGUCCCACACAUUCAAGAAGCAAGUCAGGAAACAACCCCCAUCUUCCAACCAUGGAAGGUUAAGAACGUCAAAACUAUUCACACACUUUGUGUCUUAUUCUUAUAUAUGUCACAUGCCACAAGAGGAGCAACUUAAGAAAGUAACCCUCAUUUUAAGCCAAGUUACCAGGUUUCUCUGCCAAUAUAACUUUAGCUAAUGUCUGCUAGCCCUAAAAGUGACCAGAUGGGCUAACAGGAUAUCAUGGCAAAAGAAAUUUCCAACCUAGAAAAGUAAAUGCAGAUGAAUCUAAACUCUACUCUGUGUCGAGCUUUAGGCCAAGGACUAAUGUGCAAGGUCUUCCUAGUCAGGUAGUCCUGCAUUUGAAGUGAGAAAAAAAAAAAUCAUGACCAGACUCCUAGCAGGUGACAAACUUCAUUGUGUUUCUUGACUCUAGACUGACCCCAUCAAGAUGGCCACCUUAAUCAUUGAGCAGAUGCAGCAGGUCUUGCAACUAUGAAGGGGACAGUUGAGUUCCCUGGGUUAACAAGGAGCCCAGAAAUAGUGUGAGAGGCUCCUCCCAGAAUUGAGCUCAAAAUGCAUGUCCAGCUGCCAUCUAUAAACCCUUAAGCAGGAGAGGAUGGCCCAUUCUAACCUUCUGGAGGAGGGAGUGUGAUCAGUGUGAAUUGUGGGAUUGCAUUUUUCAUCUGAGAGAUUUAUAUCCAAGUAGCUUUCUCCCGCAAGGAAACAUUCCAACAGUUUCAGAUCAUUUCCUGAAAAGAUUAUGGCCAAUCCCACAGCUCCCCAACCAACAACUACUACUAUGGCUCCAGCAGGCUAGGUAAAUUCCUACAGGCAUGGGAACCCACCCAGGAAGGCUCCUGGACCCCCCCACCACACACACAUACACACACACACACACACACACACACACACACACACACCCCAGUGCCAUCAGGAGAGGCCAGUCCUCGACCUGAUGCAUGAAUGAGACCUAAAGAGCUGCCAGCUUCAUCAUCUAGCCCAGUAUCUCUCCCUUGCAGAUGAGAGUAAAUUGAAAUACAAGUUUCAGAAUACGCUGAAAUUCAAAGUGAUUCAUUUGUCCUCUGCUUCCUCUGGCAUGAGAAUCCUCCUGGGUGGUAG
Molecule: long non-coding RNA, 2259 nt
Filed under: Marmota monax (woodchuck)
Lineage: Eukaryota; Metazoa; Chordata; Mammalia; Rodentia; Sciuridae
Source: RNAcentral